GAGGGUAUAGCACAGUGGUGGAGCGCAUGCUUAGCAUGCACCAGCCCCUGGGUUCAAUCCCCAGUACCUCCU
RNAcentral lists this transfer RNA (72 nucleotides) under Camelus bactrianus (Bactrian camel). It matches the Rfam family "tRNA". From Rfam's summary of the family: Transfer RNA (tRNA) molecules are approximately 80 nucleotides in length. Their secondary structure includes four short double-helical elements and three loops (D, anti-codon, and T loops). Further hydrogen bonds mediate the characteristic L-shaped molecular structure. tRNAs have two regions of fundamental functional importance: the anti-codon, which is responsible for specific mRNA codon recognition, and the 3' end, to which the tRNAs corresponding amino acid is attached (by aminoacyl-tRNA synthetases). tRNAs cope with the degeneracy of the genetic code in two manners: having more than one tRNA (with a specific anti-codon) for a particular amino acid; and 'wobble' base-pairing, i.e. permitting non-standard base-pairing at the 3rd anti-codon position. The record is from Rfam by way of RNAcentral. Lineage: Eukaryota; Metazoa; Chordata; Mammalia; Artiodactyla; Camelidae. RNAcentral also lists the same sequence under 1 other name.